This 249-nucleotide ribosomal RNA is filed under the name uncultured bacterium. RNAcentral describes it as "partial 16S ribosomal RNA". It matches the Rfam family "Bacterial small subunit ribosomal RNA", at positions 524 to 771 of the family's 1533-position model. The record is from RNAcentral.
UACGGAGGGUGCGAGCGUUGUCCGGAAUCACUGGGCGUAAAGGGCGCGUAGGUGGCGUCGCAAGUCAACGGUGAAAGCUCGGCGCUCAACGCCGAGUCGGCCGUCGAGACUGCGAGCUCGAGCACUGUAGGGGCAGAUGGAAUUCCGGGUGUAGCGGUGGAAUGCGUAGAGAUCCGGAAGAACACCGGGUGGCGAAGGCGGUCUGCUGGGCAGUUGCUGACACUGAUGCGCGGACAGCGUGGGGAGCAA